GGAGCCGGAGCAGAGGAUGUGGCCCAUGGGGUGCCAGGCCAGCGUCCACACGAUGCUGUCGUGGGCCUGCUCGAUGCCGCCCACCUCCUUGUCUGCCCUGCGCACGCCACACGCUACACGUCACACUCGUCCGCCCUGGCGUACCUCGCACGUCGCUUUGGCCUGCGAUCCGUCGACCUACAGUUGCUGUCGUCCGGGACUUCACCCCACAGGGCCCCUCCGAUCUCCUGUCGUCACGGCAUCAGAACACCCCGCCGGUGACGUGUGUCAGUGCGCCUCCAAAUACUGCAAGAGGGCUCAGUCGAGCCAGCAGUACUGUAAGCUAUUUCUUUUACCUUAAUAAUAAUUAACUUUUUUCGUAUGUCAUUAGUGUCCAUGUUCUUUCAGGUCUCGUAAACAAUCGGAUAUUCUUAUAUUUGAGUUACUACUUAACAUCAAUGGACCCGGGCUGCCGAAGCCAUCUCAUAUUUUAUUAAGCUGAGCUGUAAUGGUUUUACGUUAAUCGUUAAGGGUUUUAAGUCUGAAUUAAUUAUAUCAUGAUUUUUGAGGGAAAGAUUCUGUUUUUAACCGAUGCACACCAGCGGCAUGACUCGGAAUCGUCCAACUGUUCUUCCAGCUUGGCGCCACUGCGCUGACGAACAAGCUCAGCGGCCAUUACCCUACCCAAUUGCUUCGCAUCGCCACCCGAGGUAGGACGCUCUUCGCACUCCGGGUAUUUCAUCCUUUGCAUCAACUGACCAUGGUACUUCUGUUAUUAUAUUUGAUCUGAAUCAUUUUCUUGUUAUCCCCAGAGUUUACCUCGGGGGUGCAACUGCUUAAUUUAAUUAUGUAUAAAUCCGCUCGGCAGAGUUUUGUCAUCAACGCGAACUUACUGCCCGGCCACGAGAUGGCCUGGACAUCCGUAAGCCGGUUGUGCCGCGAGGCGUUUUACAGCUCAACUGCCUAACUAUAAAUUUUGUACAAGGAACGUGAAAUUUAAUGCCACGCAAUAAAUUCCAACUUAGCUAAUCUUGUGUUCUUUCACACUUGCCCGACCACGUUUUGAGUUUGUGUCGACUUGUAAGCCUGUGGGACACCAAAGACCCCACGUGAGCAUUUAUUAUAGCGAGCCCGACGCUGAGAGCGGCCCGCUUCCCGCGGUCUUGUAAGGUGCACGGGGAAAACUAGUCGCGACCCCACACGGGAGUAGAGUCUCUGCUAGACACAGAGGCACCCAAUAACUUAACUAAGACUUUCACUAACGAACACCCCGCCGCAUCACAGUGCUAUAUUGCGUAUUUCAGUUAUUGUUUGUUUUUUUCCUGUUGGUGUUGUAUUUGUUUUCUCAAUGUGUGUAUGGCGUGACCACCAUUAAAAGUUAUCCAACUGUCUUGUGGUUUUGUCACAAAUGUAUCAAUAAAUUAAUUAAUAAGUA
Bacillus rossius redtenbacheri is the source of this 1414-nucleotide long non-coding RNA. RefSeq lists it as uncharacterized. The transcript has 2 exons. The record is from RefSeq and is a predicted model, not a curated record. NCBI's taxonomy places the organism in Eukaryota, Metazoa, Arthropoda, Insecta, Phasmatodea, Bacillidae.